Molecule: long non-coding RNA, 546 nt
Organism: Mus musculus (house mouse)
Lineage: Eukaryota; Metazoa; Chordata; Mammalia; Rodentia; Muridae
Product: predicted gene, 20319
Exons: 3
Source: RefSeq, marked predicted
AGUAAGCUUCAAAACACUGGACCUGGGCAGAUAUCAACCCUCUAAGAGUUGGGGAAGAGCUACAAGGUCACUGAGGUAAUGCAAAAGUUCCUGCCCUCAGCAAUGACGGGGAAUGGAGAAUGGCUAGAAGAUGGAGUGUCUUGAAAGGUUUAUGCCCUUAGAGGACAAUACAAGGGAUGAGUAGGAGAGACCCUGCUUGUCAUUGCUAGACCACCUGGGACUCUUCUUCACUGGCAUGGCCACCUGCAACUGCUUCCAGAACCUGCCCUGAGGAUACUUGGAUUUCUCUCCUUUCCAUUUAAUGACCGUGAGCACCGUCUUAGCCCGCUUCAGCUCUUUCACCUUCAUGUCCUUCACAGCUUUGUACUGCACUAAAAUGACGUUGAUGUUGCCCCGGGAGGCCAUAUUUUCUAGGCCAGCCUUGAGCUCCAGGAGGGCUUGUGUUCCCUGGAGCACGUAGUUGGGACUUAGGACAACCAGGAGUCGUCUGCUUUUCUGAAUGAAGCUCAGGGUCUCAUCUGUGACAACUGGGAAAGAAAACACCAU